UGUGCAUAUUUCCAAAGCGGAGGAAAAGAAACCAACAGGGAUUGCCUUAGUAGCGGCGAGUGAAGCGGCAAAAGCUCAAAUUUGAAAUCUGGCGUAUUCUGCGUCCGAGUUGUAAUUUGAAGAAGGAUACUUUGGGGUUGGCUCUUGUCUAUGUUUCUUGGAACAGAACGUCACAGAGGGUGAGAAUCCCGUGCGAUGAGAAGCCCAAUUCCGUGUAAAGUGCCUUCGAAGAGUCGAGUUGUUUGGGAAUGCAGCUCUAAGUGGGUGGUAAAUUCCAUCUAAAGCUAAAUAUUGGCGAGAGACCGAUAGCGAACAAGUACAGUGAUGGAAAGAUGAAAAGAACUUUGAAAAGAGAGUGAAAAAGUACGUGAAAUUGUUGAAAGGGAAGGGCUUGAGAUCAGACUUGGUAUUUUGUAUGUCUUGCUUUCGGGUGGGGCCUCUGCAGUUUACUGGGCCAGCAUCGGUUCGGGUGGUAGGACAAUUGCGAAGGAACGUGGCACUGCUUCGGUGGUGUGUUAUAGCCUUUGUGGAUACUGCCUGUCUGGACCGAGGACUGCGUCAUUUGACUAGGAUGCUGGCAUAAUGAUCUUAAGUCGCCCGUCUUGAAACAACGGACCA
RNAcentral lists this ribosomal RNA (618 nucleotides) under Hemisphaericaspora elongata. RNAcentral describes it as "Spathaspora elongata partial large subunit ribosomal RNA". It matches the Rfam family "Eukaryotic large subunit ribosomal RNA", at positions 35 to 668 of the family's 3401-position model. Lineage: Eukaryota; Fungi; Ascomycota; Pichiomycetes; Serinales; Debaryomycetaceae. The record is from RNAcentral.